RNAcentral lists this ribosomal RNA (634 nucleotides) under uncultured bacterium. RNAcentral describes it as "bacterial SSU rRNA". The stretch from base 1 to 540 matches the Rfam family "Bacterial small subunit ribosomal RNA", at positions 338 to 873 of the family's 1533-position model. The record is from RNAcentral.
CCUACGGGAGGCAGCAGUAAGGAAUAUUGGUCAAUGGACGCAAGUCUGAACCAGCCAUGCCGCGUGAAGGAUUAAGGCCCUCUGGGUUGUAAACUUCUUUUAUAGGGGACGAAAAAAGGGCAUUCUUGCUCACUUGACGGUACCCUAGGAAUAAGCACCGGCUAACUCCGUGCCAGCAGCCGCGGUAAUACGGAGGGUGCAAGCGUUAUCCGGAUUUACUGGGUUUAAAGGGUGCGUAGGUGGGUUGGUAAGUCAGUGGUGAAAUCUUCGAGCUUAACUCGGAAACUGCCAUUGAUACUAUCAAUCUUGAAUCAUCUAGAGGUAAGCGGAAUAUGUCAUGUAGCGGUGAAAUGCUUAGAUAUGACAUAGAACACCAAUUGCGAAGGCAGCUUACUAUGGAUGUAUUGACACUGAGGCACGAAAGCGUGGGGAUCAAACAGGAUUAGAUACCCUGGUAGUCCACGCCCUAAACGAUGGAUACUCGACAUUUGUGUAUAUACUAUAAGUAGUNUGAGACGAAGACGAUAAGUUAGUACCACCGUACGGAAGGUAACGUACCGACGAAGGUUAGUAACGUUACGAAAGGAAGUUAGACGGCGUGAGACGNGCCGACGGACGACGACGAGGGAGGAGG